Molecule: long non-coding RNA, 4075 nt
Organism: Fukomys damarensis (Damara mole-rat)
Lineage: Eukaryota; Metazoa; Chordata; Mammalia; Rodentia; Bathyergidae
Exons: 2
Source: RefSeq, a predicted model, not a curated record
CGGCGGACUGCAAAGGGAAUACGAAAGCGCGGGCAUGCACGACAGAGGGCGGAGCCUGGGCCGAGGGGUGGAUGUGUGGGUUGCUCGUGGCCUCACCAUACCCAGCAGCAAGAGUGGAAACCACCCCAACACCCAGUGCAGGGCAGCGACAAACACGAGGUGGUCUUUCCAGCCGGCGGAAUGUUACCCGGCCAUGAAAAAGGGCCGGGACUCUGUCACCUGCUGUGACCUGGGCAGACUCGGUGGACCUGGGCCUCGGGGAGAGACCAGAGGGACACGGGGCACGAGCGCCCACAGCUGUGGACCCCGCUGUGGUCACCCGGGGCUGGGGAAGGGGCAGGGAGUCCUUUUGGAGCGAGGAGGAGACUCUGCCCUGGAUCCACGCGCGGUGCUGGUGCUCGGCUCGGUCUGCACGCCGACGCCCCCGCUGUUGCUAUUAUAGUUGUUGUUAUUUUGUCCUACCGGGAAUCGAACCCAGAGCCUCUGCACUGAGCUUCGUCCCAGCCCUUUUCUGAAACAACGUUGAUUUUGAGGCAGGGUCUUGCCCAGCUGCCCAGCCUGGGCUCCAUCGUGCACCCUCCUGCCUCAGCCUCCUAGAGAGCCGGGAGGAUCCCCGGUGAUGAGUGCCUCAUUCCUAACCCUCCCAUGGCCCCAUGGCCAGCAGCAGAGCCUGAAACUUGGGGUUCACGCCCCAGCCUCGGCGGUACCCCAGCCCCGACUCCUCAGCCUCUGUUCCUCCCGGUGUUUCCUGCCUCUUCCUCCUGGCCACGAUCUGCCGUCCCUGGGCCUGGAGACAAAGCAGCUGCAGCCUGACUUCCGGCCCCUGUGGGGACCCCACCCCGCGGCCUGCAGUGUCCACCCUGGGGCCGCUUGCUGCCCUGGCCUGGGAGAGGAGGGGAGGUAGGGAAACAGCAGAGAGGCCCCGCAGGGUCCCCAGGGUGUUGUGAGGACCCCAGGCCCUCAGGAGCCCCUCGGUCCCCUGGGAAAAGGAUGGAGACCAUGAGAGAUUGUCCUGCCUCUGCUUCCUGCAGCUCUGGAGGGAAACUAGAGCCAGGGCACAGAGACCCCAGCACCAAGCAGGGUGCACUUUCCCGGGCACAACCGGUGUGUUUCUCAGUCUGGCUGUGCUGGGCUCCGUGUCCCCGAGCCCCAAGGGACAAGCGUCGGGUCUCAGGGACAGGGUCAGCUGCCUUCAGGGCUGGAGGUGGGAGACGGGCAUGGGGCGGCCCCAGGCUGUGCCCAGGUUCAAUGAUCGCCCCAGGGUGGUCGGGAACCCCCGAGGGGCAGCAGCCCCAUGAGGCACUUAAGCUCCUGGAUACAGCCGGACCUGGAGCCCUUGCAUCCCAGAGAGAGACGCUCUCAGAGUCCACGUUGACCUGAGCUGGUGCAGGUUAGGCUUCUACUCCAGUCACAGAACCUUUUCCAAACUGCCCGACCCGAUCAGCCAAUCAGCCAUUGGCAGCAGACCCAUACUGGUUUUAAUCACUGAAGCUGUCCCUCCCUGUGCUCCGGAAGGCUGAGGCGGGAGGAUCACAUAUUUGAGCCCCGCCUUGGUAGCAUGGUGACUUUACCGAGACCCUGUCUUAAAAAUAAACAUUUUUUUUUAAAAAAGUUAAGGACAGGGCAGGGACGGCGUCCGGUGCAGCUCAUUUGUUUACCCAGCUAUUUAGGGCCAGGCUUGGGCUCUUUCCUUUGUUUCUCAUUCUGAGCCGGGGUCUCGCGCCGGGCCGCGGCUUGUGGUCCUCCUGCCUCAGCCUCCCUGAGGGCCAGGAGGACGGCUGCCCCCUCGACUCCUAAGACAGUGACUUUGGAAGCAGAGAAGCCAUCUGUGCCCGGGUUUCUGUCCGGAGCCCACGUUGCCUGCGUCUCCAACUGGAGACCCUCACGCCUCAGCCUCCCGAGCAUGGCGCCCCGCACUCCGCCCGCGCCUCCCUCCGCCACCACCGCCCCCCCGCCCCGGCAUCCCUGGGACUCACGGAGGCUGGGGAGGGCGGUGACGCAGUGCGCAGCCCCUCAGCUGGAGCCAAACUGAGGCUGUGAAAGAGCCGGGCCUCUUCCUCUCUCUGCUAACCCGGGCUGUGGCUGCUGCUUUGCAUACGGAGCCGGCUCCCUGCACUGAGUUCGAGUCACCGGGCCGUGCCCAGGCUGCAGGGCUCGUCCGGCCGUCGGCAAUGCGGUGUCUGUGACCUGGGGCUCCGCUGCCACACGCGUGUUUGCUUCGUAAAAUCUUCAGCUGCGGGGCCGGGAUCGGAAAAGCCUGGCUGGGUGUUGAUUUUCUGCACGCUUUCCUGGGGCUUUGGGCUGAGCUGCAGGCCCGAGUGUUCACAGACUGACUCUCUGACCCCCAGGCCCCCAGGCCGAGGCUGUGUGGAGACCGAAUGUUUGUAGAUUGACUCCUGACCCCAGGACCUCAGGCUGCAGCUGUGUAUGGAGACUGGGUCUUAAGGAGCCGUGGAGGUAAACUGAGUCCCCAGGGUGGCCCCGACCCGACAGGGCUGGGUCCCUCUGAGAAGAGGCCGGAGGACCCGGACACACAGGAGGGAUGCAGGUGUGAGGACCCAGGACCCCAGGAGCCAGGACUCGGAGGAGCCAGCGCCACCCACACCUGGGCCUGGGGCCUGUGCCUCCCUGAUGUAGACAGGAAGCAUCCGGGGCCCCAGGGACCCGGCGGGGACUUUGCUGGGAGGCGGGGAGCACUGAUUACCGUAACCAUGAAGCGGAAGCCCCCGGACUGCCUCCCUGGACCGAGGCACACAGGAAGCGGGGCGCAGACAAGGUUGGAAUACUAUGCAGCCAUCAAAAGGAUGGGUGCGAGCAGAAACAGCGGCAUGGGGCGGUCACAGCCGGGUGUGGACGUGGAAAAAGGGAUUUGCGGGAGCAGAGAGGUGAAUGGGAAGGCACAGAAGCUGCCGCUCUGUUGGGGUGCGGUGUGGUUAGCACACAAACACCUGGCGGGGGCGCAUGACUGGCAUCCAGCGCACAGAGAAGCUGAGGCAGGAGGGUCUCAAGUCAGUGAAUGUCUCUGUCUCUCCCUGUCUCUCUCUCUCUCUCUUUGUCUCUUCUCAGGGAGACGGACUGGACAGCAAGCAGAUGGUGUUUUUGCUGCAUCUUCCUGUUUUUAAAACAGCUGCGCUGUUCCUGUCAAAGGUGGGGAGGAGCAGAGCCAAGGCGGGAGCACCGGGUGGUUGAACCCAGGACCUGUGCGCCCAGCUCCACCCCAGCCCAUUUUUAAAAAACAAAUUUGAGACAGGGCCUUGCUAAAUGACUGAACUGCUCAGGCUGAACUGGCAGUAGCAACCUUCCUGCCUCAGCCUCCCGGAGUGCUGGCAGCACCAGGGUUCCUCCACAGAUCCCGUAGCUGCCUUUCUGUUGGGAUGCAGGUUUGACGCCGUGGGAUUCAUCAUGUAGCACAGGCUGGCCUUGGACUCACGGGGGAGAUCCCCCUGCCUCAGCCUCUCGAGUGCGUGCCGGGAGAAACCCUGCCUUCAAAACACAACACAAAACAAAACGCGAAGGCCGGUGUCUCCACGUCUUUUACCUCUUCCCCCACCCACAUCUGGACACGACUAGUCGGUGUUUGCACCGAAACCAGAGCGACGAUUUCACUUCCCGUUAGCCACGGGGCUGCGAGUGUGGACGUUUCGUUCCGCAACACGUUUUGUCAACAUUGACCGAAGGGACACAGCUGAGUUUCACACCUCGGGGGACGCUCGGGCCGCACGGUGGAGUACUACGCGGCCCCGAAGAAGGACGGGCCAGAGGCAUUUUUGGAAGACUCGAAGCACCCCGAGACGGUGAGGCCGAGGGACGGAAACCAGGCACAGGAGCGUCAGCGUCUCAUGGUUUCUCUUCUGUGAGAAUCGCAGAGUGUGAAACAGAAGAGCAAAAUGAAAGGUGGAUCACGGGACGGAGGGAGAGAGGCCGUUCUCAGAGGGCGGGGACCGCGAGACGGAGCGGGGGAGCGGGAAGGGCGGAGAAAGAGUGAGGCCGGUGCGCGCGGACCCGCGUUUCCCUCCGCGCACGGAGUGAGCGGCUGGGUUCGCGGCUGGGUUCGCGGCUAAAAGGAAAUCGAAUC